Non-coding RNA from Papio anubis (olive baboon), 207 nucleotides. The record is from Rfam. Lineage: Eukaryota; Metazoa; Chordata; Mammalia; Primates; Cercopithecidae.
GAAUUGUUCACUUUAAAAUGGCUAAUUUCACAAAGGCUUGUAGCAGGUGAAUUGAUAUAAUACAAUUUCUGCCCAGUGCUCUGAAUGUCAACAUGAAGAAAUUCAAUGAAGGGUAGGUAAACACGUGGGAGUAACUUUGACUCUCUUAAGGUAGCUAAAUGCCUCAUCAUCUAAUUAGUAAUGCACAUGAAUGGAUGAAUGAGAUUC